CACGUAGGGUGCGAGCGUUGUCCGGAAUUAUUGGGCGUAAAGAGCGUGUAGGCGGCCAUACAGGUCAGCUGUGAAAACUCGAGGCUCAACCUCGAGACGUCGGUUGAAACCGUAUGGCUAGAGUCCGGAAGAGGAGAGUGGAAUUCCCGGUGUAGCGGUGAAAUGCGCAGAUAUCGGGAAGAACACCCGUGGCGAAGGCGGCUCUCUGGGACGGUACUGACGCUGAGACGCGAAAGCGUGGGGAGCGAACAGG
This 253-nucleotide ribosomal RNA is filed under the name uncultured bacterium. Its description in RNAcentral is "partial 16S ribosomal RNA". It matches the Rfam family "Bacterial small subunit ribosomal RNA", at positions 524 to 776 of the family's 1533-position model. The record is from RNAcentral.